GCUUUUAUUUGUGAGAAUAUGACGGUGACAAAUGAAUAAGGGUCGGCUAACUACGUGCCAGCAGCCGCGGUAAUACUCCGGAGUGACUGGGCGUAAAGAGUUGCGUAGGUGGUUUGUAAAGCGAAUAGUGAAAUCUGGCGGCUCAACCGUACAGGCUAUUAUUCGAACUCACAAACUCGAGAAUGGUAGAGGUUACUGGAAUUUCUAGUGUAGGAGUGAAAUC
This 223-nucleotide ribosomal RNA is filed under the name uncultured bacterium. RNAcentral's name for it is "partial 16S ribosomal RNA". It matches the Rfam family "Bacterial small subunit ribosomal RNA", at positions 432 to 688 of the family's 1533-position model. The record is from RNAcentral.